CUGAGGCUCAGAGCAGACCAAGUCCACAGGAAUGGAUCCCGCACAACAGAGCACUUGCAUGCUUCCUCACCAAAGCUACUGAGGGGGCCCAAGGGACCGCACCAAUUGGGGUGGCGAAAACGACCACCGGCACACGCUUGGCUGAGGAGGCAGAUUAAGAGAUAUGGCGGUAAGAGCCGCUGGAACCGACUCCCGCCCUGUACCAACUGCCGAGCAGGAAAAGGGCCACAAUAAGAGCAGGACGGGUCUUAACUGCCACAGAGGCCUGAC
Molecule: non-coding RNA, 270 nt
Organism: Pelobates cultripes (western spadefoot toad)
Lineage: Eukaryota; Metazoa; Chordata; Amphibia; Anura; Pelobatidae
Source: the annotation of a GenBank genome assembly